Molecule: ribosomal RNA, 427 nt
Filed under: uncultured bacterium
Lineage: Bacteria
Description: partial 16S ribosomal RNA
Rfam family: Bacterial small subunit ribosomal RNA
Source: RNAcentral
UGGGGAAUAUUGCACAAUGGGCGCAAGCCUGAUGCAGCCAUGCCGCGUGUAUGAAGAAGGCCUUCGGGUUGUAAAGUACUUUCAGCGGGGAGGAAGGGAGUAAAGUUAAUACCUUUGCUCAUUGACGUUACCCGCAGAAGAAGCACCGGCUAACUCCGUGCCAGCAGCCGCGGUAAUACGGAGGGCGCAAGCGUUAAUCGGAAUUACUGGGCGUAAAGCGCACGCAGGCGGUUUGUUAAGUCAGAUGUGAAAUCCCCGGGCUCAACCUGGGAACUGCAUCUGAUACUGGCAAGCUUGAGUCUCGUAGAGGGGGGUAGAAUUCCAGGUGUAGCGGUGAAAUGCGUAGAGAUCUGGAGGAAUACCGGUGGCGAAGGCGGCCCCCUGGACGAAGACUGACGCUCAGGUGCGAAAGCGUGGGGAGCAAACA